GCCCGCCUAGCUCAAUCGGAUAGAGCGUCAGACUUUUACAUAUAUGGCGGGGAUGGAACCAGAUUCAUAUAUCUAAUCUGAAGGCUGCGGGUUCGACCCCCGCGGUGGGCU
Molecule: non-coding RNA, 111 nt
Organism: Cristinia sonorae
Lineage: Eukaryota; Fungi; Basidiomycota; Agaricomycetes; Agaricales; Stephanosporaceae
Source: the annotation of a GenBank genome assembly